GACGAACGCUGGCGGCGUGCUUAACACAUGCAAGUCGAACGGAAAGGCCCUGCUUUUGUGGGGCGCUCGAGUGGCGAACGGGUGAGUAACACGUGAGUAACCUGCCCCUGACUUUGGGAUAACUUCAGGAAACUGGGGCUAAUACCGGAUAGGAGCUCCUGCUGCAUGGUGGGGGGUGGAAAGUUUCGGCGGUUGGGGAUGGACUCGCGGCUCAUCAGCUUGUUGGUGGGGUAGUGGCUUACCAAGGCUUUGACGGGUAGCCGGCCUGGGAGGGUGACCGGCCACAUUGGGACUGAGAUACGGCCCAGACUCCUACGGGAGGCAGCAGUGGGGAAUAUUGCACAAUGGGCGGAAGCCUGAUGCAGCAACGCCGCGUGCGGGAUGACGGCCUUCGGGUUGUAAACCGCUUUCGCCUGUGACGAAGCGUGAGUGACGGUAAUGGGUAAAGAAGCACCGGCUAACUACGUG
RNAcentral lists this ribosomal RNA (468 nucleotides) under uncultured bacterium. RNAcentral's name for it is "partial 16S ribosomal RNA". It matches the Rfam family "Bacterial small subunit ribosomal RNA", at positions 28 to 507 of the family's 1533-position model. The record is from RNAcentral.